Molecule: long non-coding RNA, 308 nt
Filed under: Sarcophilus harrisii (Tasmanian devil)
Lineage: Eukaryota; Metazoa; Chordata; Mammalia; Dasyuromorphia; Dasyuridae
Description: lncRNA (ENSSHAG00000021485.1)
Source: RNAcentral
AGCAAUAAAUGAGACUUGCUUCAACCAUAUGCUGUCUCCCUCCUCCUUCCCGCCCAUUUCUCUUUCAGGCUGGUCCCCCUAGGUUCCCCAUGAAUAACUGAGUCCCAGUGGACGGGACAAGUGGCACCCAAUGUGGGGGGCAAGAGGUGAGGACCCUUGCCAGGCGGACCCCGAAGAAUCGUCUGGACCCCGAAGAAAUCACAAGGAUCCCCUUCUGUCCUUGAAAAGGGGGACAUGUUGGUGACCGGACCAUAGUCAUGGAAAAUUACCAGACUGCAGACCUUGCAUCAAGCAACAGAUGGCGGCCA